UACAGAGGGGGCAAGCGUUGUUCGGAAUUACUGGGCGUAAAGGGCGUGUAGGCGGUUUGUUAAGUCUGGCGUGAAAGCUCUCGGCUAAACCGGGAGAGGUCGUUGGAUACUGGCGAACUAGAGGAUGGUAGAGGCGUGUGGAAUUCCGGGUGUAGUGGUGAAAUGCGUAGAGAUCCGGAGGAACACCAGUGGCGAAGGCGACACGCUGGGCCAUACCUGACGCUAAAGCGCGACAGCAUGGGGAGCAAACGGG
RNAcentral lists this ribosomal RNA (253 nucleotides) under uncultured bacterium. Its description in RNAcentral is "partial 16S ribosomal RNA". It matches the Rfam family "Bacterial small subunit ribosomal RNA", at positions 524 to 776 of the family's 1533-position model. The record is from RNAcentral.